CCUACGGGAGGCAGCAGUAGGGAAUUUUCCACAAUGGGCGAAAGCCUGAUGGAGCAACGCCGCGUGGGUGAAGAAGGUCUUCGGAUCGUAAAACCCUGUUGUUAGAGAAGAAAGUGCGUGAGAGUAACUGUUCACGUUUCGACGGUAUCUAACCAGAAAGCCACGGCUAACUACGUGCCAGCAGCCGCGGUAAUACGUAGGUGGCAAGCGUUAUCCGGAUUUAUUGGGCGUAAAGGGAACGCAGGCGGUCUUUUAAGUCUGAUGUGAAAGCCUUCGGCUUAACCGGAGUAGUGCAUUGGAAACUGGGAGACUGGAGUGCAGAAGAGGAGAGUGGAACUCCAUGUGUAGCGGUGAAAUGCGUAGAUAUAUGGAAGAACACCAGUGGCGAAAGCGGCUCUCUGGUCUGUAACUGACGCUGAGGUUCGAAAGCGUGGGUAGCAAACAGGAUUAGAUACCCGAGUAGUC
This 465-nucleotide ribosomal RNA is filed under the name uncultured bacterium. RNAcentral describes it as "partial 16S ribosomal RNA". It matches the Rfam family "Bacterial small subunit ribosomal RNA", at positions 338 to 795 of the family's 1533-position model. The record is from RNAcentral.